Molecule: long non-coding RNA, 392 nt
Organism: Psammomys obesus (fat sand rat)
Lineage: Eukaryota; Metazoa; Chordata; Mammalia; Rodentia; Muridae
Exons: 3
Source: RefSeq, a predicted model, not a curated record
AGGGUGGGAAGCCUACGGGACUGGUGCCGGGACCUGUCUCAAAGAGAAAUUCUGUCCCCACCUUGACUGUGGAAUAACAAUAAUGUGUGGGCCCUGUGUCAUCUGAGAAACUGGCUGCCCCGUGGGUAGGGGUGAGAGCUGCAGGGCAGCGCUGAAUUCCCUGAGGAAGGCGCACAGAUAAAGCCAGCAGGAAAUGAGGUCUGCAGGCUGACAGCGUUUCCUAGUAACUGAGACGCCAGAAGAAGGCACCGGAUCUCCCAGAACUGAAGUUAUAGAUGGUUGUGAGUAACCGUACGUGAGCUGGGAGCUGAACUCUUGUCUUCUGGAAGAGCAACUGGUGCUCUUAACUGCUGGGCCAUCCGUCCAGCCUGGACAUUAAACUUUUGAGAAUA